Molecule: long non-coding RNA, 2445 nt
Filed under: Homo sapiens (human)
Lineage: Eukaryota; Metazoa; Chordata; Mammalia; Primates; Hominidae
Description: HSALNT0297530
Source: RNAcentral
AGGCCUGGUGCGUAAGUCUACCCCACACAGUCCUUUGCGAUUUUCCUCUCCCACUUUGGGAGCCAGUGGAUGAAGAGGGUGGAACCAUAGAAUAGAAGGAACCCAGAUACAGAUCACUGUUCAGAGGAGAGCUGCCUGCCAGUCAGGAAGACCCAUUUUGGACUUUAUGAAGAUGACCACGGCCCCUCUGUUCCCUCGCCUGUGUGCCAAAUGGAUCCACAGCUAGAGACAAGCUCCUUCCCUUUGAACGGUGGGAAGCAGGCCAAGAUGUUUUAAAGACAGAUGGCAUCAGAUGCAGAGAAGCAAGCUGGAACUCGGAGCACAGCUGCCUUAUUUACUUACCUACUGGCUGCAUUUCUGAGAACCAGUUUUAUUCCUGUUCAAAGGAAGCCAGGCAGAGUUGGGAAAAUAUUUUCCUAGCCAGCUCCUUAGCACCACUGUCUGAGGGAAACCAUCUGGCCAAGAUGCCCUUCAAACUUCUUCUCGGCGCUGCAUUUUGAAUUGUUUCUACUAGUGUAUCUUGAAGUUUACUAAGCUUUUCUUCUGGAGUGUCUAAGAUGCUGUUCAUCUCGGCCAGUAUUUUUUCAUCUGUAGAAUUUAAUUCAGUCUUUUUUUAUGUUCUCCAUAUCUCUCCUUAACAUGCUCAUACAUUCUUCUACCUUUGUGAACACAUGGAGUAUAUUAUCACUUUUUAAUAUUCUGCUCCGCAUAAUUCUAGCAUCUGUAUCAUUUCUGUUUCAGUCAAUUUAUUUUUCUUCUUAUUCUGGGUCAUAUUUUCUUUUUGUUUUGUUUUGUUUUGUUUUCAGAAAGAGUCUCGCUCUGUCGCCCAGGUUGGAGUGCAGUGGCACGAUCUCGGCUCACUGAAACCUCCGUCUCCCGGGUUCAAGCGAUUCUCCUACCUCAGCGUUCCGAGUAGCUGGGACUACAGGUGCGCACCGCCACGCCCGGCUAAUUUUUGUAUUUUUUUGUAGAGACGGGGUUUUGCCAUGUUGCCCAGGCUUGUCUCGAAUUCCUGAGCUCAAGCAGUUCGCCCGCUUUGGCCCCUCAAAGUGUUGGGACUACAGGUGUAAGCCACUGUGCCCGGCCCUGGGUCGUAUUUUCCUGCCUCUUUGUAUGCCUGUUAAGGUUUGAUUGGAUGCCAGAUGUGGCUGGAAAGGUCACUCAUGAUUAGUUACUUCUACUAAUUCUCUGACUUCAUCUUCUAAUCUCCACCCCUCCCAGGUCUCUGAUUUUGCCACCCUGAACUUCUUGCACACUUCCUCGUUCAUUUGCACAUGCUGUCCCCUUUCUCUGGGGCACUCUUCCCUAGGCGGUCCCCAUGGGUUUCUCCCUAACUUCAUUUGGGUCUGUGUUCAAAUGUCACAUUACCAAAAACAUUCUAUCACCUUUCCUUGCUUUAUUUGCCUUUAAACAUUUAUAACCACUUGCCAGCCAUGUUACUUACUGAUUGUCUAUUUUUACCUCACCGCCCACCUCUGCUAAAAUGUACCAUGACAGCAUCACCGAGAACUACUGCCAUCAGCUAUAUAAUGAAACUAUUUUUAAGCAACAACAACAGCAGCAGAGAAGAGGGACCAACAGGGUCCAAUGCAUCAGAGGGGUCCAAACUGGUAAGCACUGAAAAAUAUCUAUUGAAUCGGACAAUUAGGAGGACUAACCUCCUCAAGAGUAAGUUCCUGCAGUUUGCUGGAUAAAGGGCAUCAGAGCGCCGUGGGUUGGGUUGAGGACAUCUUCUCCCUUACAGCCUCCUGGUUCUUCUCUCAGAAAAACUUCUCCUCCUUCCCAGCUCAAUCCUAUUUAUUUAUUUUAAAAUUUAUUGUGUAUAUUUAAGGUAUACAACAUGCUGUUAUAGGAUACACAUAGUUAGUAAAAUAUUUACUAUAGCAAAGCAAAUGAACAUCUCUGUCGUCUCCGCACAGUUACCCAUUUUUGUUGCUUUUGUGGCAAGAGCAGCUACAAUCUAGUCAUUUAGUAGGAAUCCCAAGUACAGUGCGAUUUUAUGACCUACAACCAUCAUGGUGUACAUUAGAUCUCUCCACACACCUGUUACAUUGUAUCCUCUGACCUACGUCUUCCCAUUUCUUCCUCCCAUUCCUCCCCAGCCUGCUUCCACCCCAGUAACUGCUGUUUUAUUAUCUGCGUCUGCACAUUUGAUUUUGUUUUUAGAUUCCACAUGUAAGUGACAUCAUGCACUAUUUUUUUUUCCUGUCUGACGCAUUUCACUCAGCAUAGUGUCUUCCAGGUUAAUCCAUGUUGUGCCAAACGACAGGACCUUCUUUUUAAAGGCUGAAUAAUAUUCCAUUGUAUACAGAUGCCACAGUUUUUUAAAUCCAUUCCUCCAUCGACACUUGGGUGGUUCCAUAUCUUGACUAUUGUGAAGAAUGCUGCGUGAAAAUAGAAGUGCAGCCUGAGCUUUUGCUGCGAUCUCCAAAAAAUCAUUGCCAG